This 477-nucleotide ribosomal RNA is filed under the name uncultured bacterium. Its description in RNAcentral is "partial 16S ribosomal RNA". It matches the Rfam family "Bacterial small subunit ribosomal RNA", at positions 28 to 522 of the family's 1533-position model. The record is from RNAcentral.
GACGAACGCUGGCGGCGUGCUUAACACAUGCAAGUCGAACGGUAAGGCCCUUCGGGGUACACGAGUGGCGAACGGGUGAGUAACACGUGGGUGAUCUGCCCUGCACUUCGGGAUAAGCCUGGGAAACUGGGUCUAAUACCGGAUAGGACCACUGCCUGCAUGGGGGGUGGUGGAAAGCUUUUGCGGGGUGGGAUGGGCCCGCGGCCUAUCAGCUUGUUGGUGGGGUGAUGGCCUACCAAGGCGACGACGGGUAGCCGGCCUGAGAGGGUGACCGGCCACACUGGGACUGAGAUACGGCCCAGACUCCUACGGGAGGCAGCAGUGGGGAAUAUUGCACAAUGGGCGCAAGCCUGAUGCAGCGACGCCGCGUGAGGGAUGACGGCCUUCGGGUUGUAAACCUCUUUCAGCACCGACGAAGCGCAAGUGACGGUAGGUGCAGAAGAAGGACCGGCCAACUACGUGCCAGCAGCCGCCUAA